Molecule: transfer RNA, 73 nt
Filed under: Candidatus Nosocomiicoccus stercorigallinarum
Lineage: Bacteria; Bacillati; Bacillota; Bacilli; Caryophanales; Staphylococcaceae
Description: tRNA-His
Rfam family: tRNA
About the family: Transfer RNA (tRNA) molecules are approximately 80 nucleotides in length. Their secondary structure includes four short double-helical elements and three loops (D, anti-codon, and T loops).
Source: RNAcentral
GCGAUUGUGGCGAAGUGGUUAACGCACCGGAUUGUGGCUCCGGCAUUCGUGAGUUCGAUUCUCAUCAUUCGCC